AAAUCGUGGUGUGGGCAACAUCUCAGCAAGUCCUUGUACCUUUACCACGCAUCAUACAUGCUCUCAUCAUCAAACUGCAUAAAAAAAUAUCAUUACGCAUUU
Molecule: small nucleolar RNA, 102 nt
Filed under: Ricinus communis (castor bean)
Lineage: Eukaryota; Viridiplantae; Streptophyta; Magnoliopsida; Malpighiales; Euphorbiaceae
Description: Plant small nucleolar RNA R71
Rfam family: Plant small nucleolar RNA R71
About the family: R71 is a member of the C/D box family of snoRNAs containing the C (UGAUGA) and D (CUGA) box motifs. Multiple nearly identical copies of this snoRNA have been identified in Arabidopsis, and it is thought to function as a 2'-O-ribose methylation guide for 18S ribosomal RNA.
Source: Rfam by way of RNAcentral